CUGGGCGUAAAGCGGGCGCAGACGGUUACUUAAGCAGGAUGUGAAAUCCCCGGGCUCAACCUGGGAACUGCGUUCUGAACUGGGUGACUAGAGUGUGUCAGAGGGAGGUAGAAUUCCACGUGUAGCAGUGAAAUGCGUAGAGAUGUGGAGGAAUACCGAUGGCGAAGGCAGCCUCCUGGGAUAACACUGACGUUCAUGCCCGAAAGCGUGGGUAGCAAACAGGAUUAGAUACCCUGGUAGUCCACGCCCUAAACGAUGUCGAUUAGCUGUUGGGCAGCUUGACUGCUUAGUAGCGAAGCUAACGCGUGAAAUCGACCGCCUGGGGAGUACGGUCGCAAGAUUAAAACUCAAAGGAAUUGACGGGGACCCGCACAAGCGGUGGAUGAUGUGGAUUAAUUCGAUGCAACGCGAAGAACCUUACCUGGUCUUGACAUGUACGGAACCCUCCAGAGACGGAGGGGUGCCUUCGGGAGCCGUAACACAGGUGCUGCAUGGCUGUCGUCAGCUCGUGUCGUGAG
RNAcentral lists this ribosomal RNA (518 nucleotides) under uncultured bacterium. RNAcentral's name for it is "bacterial SSU rRNA". It matches the Rfam family "Bacterial small subunit ribosomal RNA", at positions 554 to 1071 of the family's 1533-position model. The record is from RNAcentral.